Molecule: ribosomal RNA, 466 nt
Filed under: uncultured bacterium
Lineage: Bacteria
Description: partial 16S ribosomal RNA
Rfam family: Bacterial small subunit ribosomal RNA
Source: RNAcentral
GAUGAACGCUGGCGGCGUGCUUAACACAUGCAAGUCGAACGGAAAGGCUCCUGCUUGCAGGGGUACUCGAGUGGCGAACGGGUGAGUAACACGUGGGUGAUCUGCCCUGCACUUCGGGAUAAGCCUGGGAAACUGGGUCUAAUACCGGAUAGGACGAUGGUUUGGAUGCAAUUGUGGAAAGUUUUUCGGUGUGGGAUGAGCUCGCGGCCUAUCAGCUUGUUGGUGGGGUAAUGGCCUACCAAGGCGUCGACGGGUAGCCGGCCUGAGAGGGUGUACGGCCACAUUGGGACUGAGAUACGGCCCAGACUCCUACGGGAGGCAGCAGUGGGGAAUAUUGCACAAUGGGCGCAAGCCUGAUGCAGCGACGCCGCGUGGGGGAUGACGGCCUUCGGGUUGUAAACUCCUUUCGCUAGGGACGAAGCGUUUUGUGACGGUACCUGGAGAAGAAACACCGGCUAACUACGUG